RNAcentral lists this long non-coding RNA (545 nucleotides) under Canis lupus familiaris (dog). RNAcentral's name for it is "lncRNA (ENSCAFG00845029199.1)". Lineage: Eukaryota; Metazoa; Chordata; Mammalia; Carnivora; Canidae. The record is from RNAcentral.
AGUGUAAGUGUGCUUCCAGCUAACAAGUGGCUGUGCUGGCAGGGCGGUCGGGGGUGCACCAGACAGCCUCAUACUGACUUUUCCCUUUUUCUGUUUUGUCCCCUAGCUGAAUCCAGUGGGUUUGAUGGGAAUACGGACCUGUUGCUGGAGCCACCUCAUGGAAGAGGCACGGUGCAGGUGGUAUCGCUACGGAUGAUGAAGCCAUUGGCUGAGUGACGCUCCUUCAUCCCAGACAUCCCCACAACUGACAACACCACUUUAUACAUCCUGUGGGUGAUAUUAAACACAUUUGAUAACUGGUUUCUUCUGCCCUUGAGAAACCUGGCCUCUAGUUGGGCAGAGGAGACUUUCACAUGUGGAAAGCUCCAGAGCUAUUUAAAGCACCUCCACCGUGGGCCAACCAAUGCAGCAAGGACCUGGAAAUUAUUUGGCUAUCAAAGAGUUAAUCUGCUAAGGUAAUGGCAUGAACAAUGCACCCCAUAAUGUAUACAAAGAGGGUGCUGCCACUAGGAGACAAAAUCACAAGGGGGAUGCUAGGCUGAACU